GACGAACGCUGGCGGCGUGCCUAAUACAUGCAAGUAGAACGCUGAAGGAGGAGCUUGCUUCUCUGGAUGAGUUGCGAACGGGUGAGUAACGCGUAGGUAACCUGCCUGGUAGCGGGGGAUAACUAUUGGAAACGAUAGCUAAUACCGCAUAAGAGUAGAUGUCGCAUGACAUUUGCUUAAAAGGUGCAAUUGCAUCACUACCAGAUGGACCUGCGUUGUAUUAGCUAGUUGGUGAGGUAACGGCUCACCAAGGCAACGAUGCAUAGCCGACCUGAGAGGGUGAUCGGCCACACUGGGACUGAGACACGGCCCAGACUCCUACGGGAGGCAGCAGUAGGGAAUCUUCGGCAAUGGACGGAAGUCUGACCGAGCAACGCCGCGUGAGUGAAGAAGGUUGUCGGAUCGUAAAGCUCUGUUGUAAGAGAAGAACGAGUGUGAGAGUGGAAAGUUCACACUGUGACGGUAUCUUACCAGAAAGGGACGGCUAACUACGUG
Molecule: ribosomal RNA, 495 nt
Filed under: uncultured bacterium
Lineage: Bacteria
Description: partial 16S ribosomal RNA
Rfam family: Bacterial small subunit ribosomal RNA
Source: RNAcentral